GGAGAAAUGGCAGAGUGGUUAAUUGCAUUUCUUUUAAAAUGUUAACGGGGGUUCAAAUCCUCCUUUCUCCA
RNAcentral lists this transfer RNA (71 nucleotides) under Ulota hutchinsiae. RNAcentral describes it as "tRNA-Leu". It matches the Rfam family "tRNA". Rfam says of the family: Transfer RNA (tRNA) molecules are approximately 80 nucleotides in length. The record is from RNAcentral. Lineage: Eukaryota; Viridiplantae; Streptophyta; Bryopsida; Orthotrichales; Orthotrichaceae.